Molecule: non-coding RNA, 167 nt
Filed under: Pan troglodytes (chimpanzee)
Lineage: Eukaryota; Metazoa; Chordata; Mammalia; Primates; Hominidae
Source: RNAcentral
CAGCGGUCUCUUUGUUAGUAUCCAUGAUUGAAGGCAUAUUGCUUCGGUUCUCAAAGCAUGGCCAGAAGGUGUCAUCAAGGUAUAAUAAAAAUACUGAGGUUCUCAAAAAAAUGGACUGCAGUAUAAGAGUAUUAUAAAAACCACCCAUGAAUAUAUUUGAAAUCCUA